Ziziphus jujuba (common jujube) is the source of this 80-nucleotide small nucleolar RNA. RefSeq annotates it as small nucleolar RNA R160. The record is from RefSeq and is a predicted model, not a curated record. The transcript has a single exon. Lineage: Eukaryota; Viridiplantae; Streptophyta; Magnoliopsida; Rosales; Rhamnaceae.
AGCAAAAUGAUGAGAUUCUUUAGUCUGAAUUAACAUGUGGAAUCCCAUAUCGUAUUGGUCUUCAAAGUUCUCUGAUUGCU